ACUAGUUACAACGUUGGAGCAAAUCUAGGUCAGAGAAACUUCAGCAUGACUUAUUGCAAGCCCAUGAUAUAAAUCAUCCAGGAGAGGCCAGGGAAGACCAGCUUCUGAGCUUAUUUAUUGUAGAAAAGAUUGGCAUUAAUGAGCUGGAGGAGCAGAACGCAUCCAUCAGGGCUGAAAACACCAGCCUGUCCUUCAAGGGAGUGAGAUGAAAGAAAACAAGUGGCAUCCAGAGGAACUUCACAAUCCUCUCUCUAAUGGGGACUGCAAGAUGCCAUCUGACAUUGGAUAUUUGAACAUCCCAGGGAGCACAAGCUGAGCCCCAGGUCUCUUCUACUCAAAUCCAGGCUUGUCCCCCUUUGCAAACUCUGCAUUUUCCCCCAGGAAGCAGAAGCCAUAGCUUCAGCCCUCCUCAGCAGGGAAAAGCCUGGAAUUCAGGUCUACCACUUCCUGAGCAAAUACUCUAUUCGGGUAUUAUGCAAAAGGC
RNAcentral lists this long non-coding RNA (484 nucleotides) under Serinus canaria (Common canary). RNAcentral's name for it is "lncRNA (ENSSCAG00000014357.1)". Lineage: Eukaryota; Metazoa; Chordata; Aves; Passeriformes; Fringillidae. The record is from RNAcentral.